Oryza glumipatula is the source of this 207-nucleotide non-coding RNA. NCBI's taxonomy places the organism in Eukaryota, Viridiplantae, Streptophyta, Magnoliopsida, Poales, Poaceae. The record is from Rfam.
AAUAAGACAAACCCUGAGUUUCCGUGUCCAACAUUUAACUGUCUGUUUUAUAUGAAAUAUUUUUAUAAUUAGUAUUUCCAUUGUUGUUAGAUGAUAAAACAUGAUUAAUACUUUAUGCGUGACUUGCCUUUUUAAUAUUUUUCAUAAUUUUUUCAAAUAAGACGGACGGUCAAACGUUGGACACGGAAACCCAGGGUUUGUCUUUUU